UACGAAGGGGGCUAGCGUUGUUCGGAAUUACUGGGCGUAAAGCGCACGGAGGCGGGUGGUUAAGUCAGGGGUGAAAUCCCGGAGCUCAACUCCGGAACUGCCUUUGAUACUGGCCAUCUAGAGAUCGGAAGAGGUGAGUGGAAUUCCCAGUGUAGAGGUGAAAUUCGUAGAUAUUGGGAAGAACACCAGUGGCGAAGGCGGCUCACGGGUCCGAUAUUGACUAUGAGGUGCGAAAGCGUGGGGAGCAAACAGG
RNAcentral lists this ribosomal RNA (253 nucleotides) under uncultured bacterium. Its description in RNAcentral is "partial 16S ribosomal RNA". It matches the Rfam family "Bacterial small subunit ribosomal RNA", at positions 524 to 776 of the family's 1533-position model. The record is from RNAcentral.